This 511-nucleotide ribosomal RNA is filed under the name Pleurotus cornucopiae (cornucopia mushroom). Its description in RNAcentral is "LSU rRNA". It matches the Rfam family "Eukaryotic large subunit ribosomal RNA", at positions 120 to 630 of the family's 3401-position model. The record is from RNAcentral. Lineage: Eukaryota; Fungi; Basidiomycota; Agaricomycetes; Agaricales; Pleurotaceae.
AUCUGGUGGUCUUCUGGCCAUCCGAGUUGUAAUCUAGAGAAGUGUUAUCCGUGCUGGACCGUGUACAAGUCCCCUGGAAUGGGGCGUCAUAGAGGGUGAGAAUCCCGUCUUUGACACGGACUACCAGGGCUUUGUGAUGCACUCUCAACGAGUCGAGUUGUUUGGGAAUGCAGCUCAAAAUGGGUGGUAAAUUCCAUCUAAAGCUAAAUAUUGGCGAGAGACCGAUAGCGAACAAGUACCGUGAGGGAAAGAUGAAAAGAACUUUGGAAAGAGAGUUAAACAGUACGUGAAAUCUGUUCCGAAAGGGAAACGCUUGAAGUCAGUCGCGUGCGGCCGGGGAUCAACCUUGCUUUUGUGAGGCGUACUUUCCUGGUUGACGGGUCAGCAUCAGUUUUGGCUGCUGGACAAAGGUCAGGGAAAUGUGGCACCUUCGGGUGUGUUAUAGUCUCUGAUCAUAUACAGCCUGGCUGGGACUGAGGAACUCAGCACGCCAAAAGGCCGGGGUUUCGCU